UCAGAAUACGCGGGGCUCCGUGCUCCCACC
This 30-nucleotide small RNA is filed under the name Bombyx mori (domestic silkworm). RNAcentral describes it as "ovarian small RNA-25562". Lineage: Eukaryota; Metazoa; Arthropoda; Insecta; Lepidoptera; Bombycidae. The record is from RNAcentral.